RNAcentral lists this ribosomal RNA (459 nucleotides) under activated sludge bacterium LB7. Its description in RNAcentral is "bacterial SSU rRNA". It matches the Rfam family "Bacterial small subunit ribosomal RNA", at positions 56 to 524 of the family's 1533-position model. The record is from RNAcentral.
UGCAAGUCGAACGAUGAACCAGGUGCUUGCACUUGGGGAUUAGUGGCGAACGGGUGAGUAACACGUGAGCAACCUGCCCCUCACUCUGGGAUAAGCGCUGGAAACGGCGUCUAAUACUGGAUACGAGUCGCAACCGCAUGGUUAGUGACUGGAAAGAUUUUUUGGUGGGGGAUGGGCUCGCGGCCUAUCAGCUUGUUGGUGAGGUAAUGGCUCACCAAGGCGUCGACGGGUAGCCGGCCUGAGAGGGUGACCGGCCACACUGGGACUGAGACACGGCCCAGACUCCUACGGGAGGCAGCAGUGGGGAAUAUUGCACAAUGGGCGGAAGCCUGAUGCAGCAACGCCGCGUGAGGGAUGACGGCCUUCGGGUUGUAAACCUCUUUUAGCAGGGAAGAAGCGUGAGUGACGGUACCUGCAGAAAAAGCGCCGGCUAACUACGUGCCAGCAGCCCGCGGUAAA